This 1030-nucleotide long non-coding RNA is filed under the name Phasianus colchicus (ring-necked pheasant). RNAcentral describes it as "lncRNA (ENSPCLG00000005697.1)". Lineage: Eukaryota; Metazoa; Chordata; Aves; Galliformes; Phasianidae. The record is from RNAcentral.
CCAUGAGGUACUGUCCUUCCAGUAUGUUUUGGCCACAUUUUUUUUACAACAGAAUCUCUCUUCAAAGGUAUUAGGAACAUAUCAGAUACAUACAUUUUACACAUUUCAAGACCAUUCUCUUACAGCUUGCCCUCAAAGACCUCCAUCCUCAAUAGUAAAAGACUCCAGACUUCCAAGAUUGGUAAUCAUAAACAAAUCAAGAGUGCUUAAGGCAUUUUGAAUGAGGCUAGACAUGUAAUGGAAGCCUCAUUUUUUCCUCUCACAUAUGCCAGGCUUACUCUGUGGCUAGCAGAAAAUUAGUAACUAGGACUAUGUUUCAUUUUCCCAUUUGUAGAACCCCCCAAACCAUCCAGGUACUUUCUCAGAGACUCCAGCAGUUGUGACCAGUGUUUUAAUCUCUGCAGAGGUGGUAUAUAGGAACUAUUGAGUCGGCCUGAACCACUGAUUGAGCACCUGGGGAAAGGACUGGGUCAGCCGUGGGAGCACAGGUGGAGGCAAUUCAGCUGCAUGACCAGAAGGGUUGGAGCCUGGCUGCACCUCUCUUAGACCUCAUUUAAGGGUUAACUGCCACUGGGGAAGGCCCUCUGGUUAGAGAUCCCUCCUUUGUGGGGUCAUUUCUGUGAGCCUAGGCCUUUGGAGAUGGGUGAGCACUUUUACUUUUCCUGUGAAAUACCAUCCUAUCUGUGCUGGUCCCUUUGCUGUUACGUUCCUGUAUUGCCCUUCCAACAUGUUAAUCUUUCUAAUUGUAACAGGUGGCAAGACAAACAUUUCACCUGAUGGAAAUCCUCAGAAGCUGGUUAGCACUAACAGAGAAGGAUUUGAGACAGCAUCAGAUACUGAAUUAUACUGGUGGUGUUACUUGCCAAUAAAGACAGUACAAGUCUGGAAUGAAGAUAAAACCAAGGCUACCUACAAUUGUGCCCUGCAUGGCUGGGUGACAACAUCAAGAGUAUUAAUAUCUGCUCAGUCCUCUGCUCUGGUCUCCGGAAAAGGAAAGAGAAAUGGUCACUCUCAGCCUGCAUUUUUUUAA